This 253-nucleotide ribosomal RNA is filed under the name uncultured bacterium. RNAcentral's name for it is "partial 16S ribosomal RNA". It matches the Rfam family "Bacterial small subunit ribosomal RNA", at positions 524 to 776 of the family's 1533-position model. The record is from RNAcentral.
UACGUAGGGUGCGAGCGUUGCCCGGAUUUAUUGGGCGUAAAGGGCGCGUAGGCGGUCACGCACGUCCGUUGUGAAAUCGCUCGGCUCAACUGGGCGGGGUCAGCGGAUACGGUGUGACUGGAGCAAGCUAGGGGGCAAUGGAAUUCCCGGUGUAGUGGUGGAAUGCGUAGAUAUCGGGAGGAACACCAGUGGCGAAGGCGGUUGCCUGGAGCUUUGCUGACGCUGAUGCGCGAAAGCGUGGGGAGCGAACAGG